GUGCCAGUAGCUCAAUUGGCAGAGCAUCGCACUGUGGAUGCGAGGGUUGUGGGUUCGAGACCCAUCUGGCACCCCA
This 76-nucleotide transfer RNA is filed under the name Pseudomonadota bacterium. RNAcentral's name for it is "tRNA-His". It matches the Rfam family "tRNA". Rfam says of the family: Transfer RNA (tRNA) molecules are approximately 80 nucleotides in length. RNAcentral also lists the same sequence under 4 other names. The record is from RNAcentral. Lineage: Bacteria; Pseudomonadati; Pseudomonadota.